RNAcentral lists this long non-coding RNA (240 nucleotides) under Elaeis guineensis (African oil palm). Its description in RNAcentral is "long non-coding RNA (EGUI_LNC037109)". Lineage: Eukaryota; Viridiplantae; Streptophyta; Magnoliopsida; Arecales; Arecaceae. The record is from RNAcentral.
GGUGUAGUGACAUUGGAGCGAGAGUGCAGGUAAUUGUUAGGAAAUAACUAGCACUGCGCAUGACUAACACGAUAAGUCACAUGGAUGUCUGCUCACUCGUUAGUGACUUUCUCGAUGCUGCAAUAGUGUAAUUGGUCUUUUGACCUGCGGUGCUACAGUUACUCGCAGUGUGGCUGUUGGAGUUUGAUUACACAUAAAUAUUGACUCAAUGAGUUCUUGUAAUGGAUGUUGGUGACAGUU